AUACAGAGGGUGCAAGCGUUAUUCGGAAUUACUGGGCGUAAAGCGCGCGUAGGCGGAUUGGUAAGUCAGUUGUGAAAGCCCUGGGCUCAACCUAGGAACUGCAUCUGAUACUGCUUGUCUAGAGUCUGAUAGAGGGAAGGAGAAUUCCUGGUGUAGCAGUGAAAUGCGUAGAUAUCAGGAGGAACAUCAGUGGCGAAGGCGCCUUCCUGGAUCAAGACUGACGCUGAGGUGCGAAAGCUUGGGUAGCGAACGGGAUUAGAUACCCCGGUAGUCCAAGCCGUAAACGAUGUCAACUAGUUGUUGGCCCUAUUAAAAAGGUUAGUAACGAAGCUAACGCGAUAAGUUGACCGCCUGGGGAGUACGGUCGCAAGAUUAAA
RNAcentral lists this ribosomal RNA (377 nucleotides) under uncultured bacterium. RNAcentral describes it as "bacterial SSU rRNA". It matches the Rfam family "Bacterial small subunit ribosomal RNA", at positions 523 to 898 of the family's 1533-position model. The record is from RNAcentral.